Molecule: long non-coding RNA, 653 nt
Organism: Arvicola amphibius (Eurasian water vole)
Lineage: Eukaryota; Metazoa; Chordata; Mammalia; Rodentia; Cricetidae
Exons: 2
Source: RefSeq, a predicted model, not a curated record
UACACUGAAGCAAUCAGCACGGCUCUGGUGAUGCCCUGUUAAAGUGUCACUAUGCGUGGGCUUCAGGGUUUGCUCAGGGAAGCCGCGAUAACCUUGACUCUCUUUCACAGGAUUCCAGGUGGAUUAGUCUGAGACCCACAUUCUUACGUUUUUCCAGCUGCAAUGUUUGCCUGGAGAUUCUGUUGUAUCUUCUACCAACUGCGUGGCUUCUUCCUGGGAAUUUUACAGAGAAGGUUCAAAGCCAUCUGUGACAUCCAGGGACUCUGAGAACAAAGAAUAAACAAAUCACCGGACACAGGGUUCACCUGCAUACCUUUUGGAAGAAGAAACACAUCGCCUUUCCUCGGGAAUUUUCCCAUCGACAGCCAGGGAUGUAACUUUGCUGAUGCCAUACUUCUGAGGGACUAUCAGAGAACAGUCAUACUGUUGGUUUUGAAAUACCAGGAACCGAAUUCAGAGCCCUGUGCAUGCCAGGCAACUGUUCUACCGCUGAACUAUACCCCAGGACCCUAAUUUAUAAUCUGUUCUGUUCACUGGUUUGGGUCUUAGACAUGUUACUAAAUCUCUCUCAUUCUAUCUCAGCCUUAGCUUUAUAAAACAAGACAAUGAUGAUGUCCUGAAAUAAAGUCCUCAGGGGGGAACGGGUGCACUGA